RNAcentral lists this long non-coding RNA (203 nucleotides) under Lathyrus oleraceus (garden pea). RNAcentral describes it as "Pisum sativum (pea) long non-coding RNA (PSAT_LNC015331)". Lineage: Eukaryota; Viridiplantae; Streptophyta; Magnoliopsida; Fabales; Fabaceae. The record is from RNAcentral.
ACCAUUUCUGUUUUAUGCUUGUGUUAGCAUAGUGUGACAAUUUGUGUCACACCUUUGGAUGAUCAACUUGUUCCAUUUAAUUUCCAUGCCAAUUGAUCUUUGAUGCUUCUGAUUUUUUGUAUGUUGAUCAUGUUGGAUAUGUUGAAUGCUCAUGAAUUUUUCCAGAAUUGUUUGAAUCAUUUCUGUUUUGUUUUGGAAUUUUC